RNAcentral lists this transfer RNA (62 nucleotides) under Coleoptera sp. 22 KM-2017. RNAcentral describes it as "tRNA-Ser". Lineage: Eukaryota; Metazoa; Arthropoda; Insecta; Coleoptera. The record is from RNAcentral.
GAAUUAUGAUAAUAUUUAAGCUGCUAACUUAAAAUAAAAUGUUUUAAACCAUUUAUAAUUCU